This 474-nucleotide ribosomal RNA is filed under the name uncultured bacterium. RNAcentral's name for it is "bacterial SSU rRNA". It matches the Rfam family "Bacterial small subunit ribosomal RNA", at positions 335 to 799 of the family's 1533-position model. The record is from RNAcentral.
ACUCCUACGGGAGGCAGCAGUAGGGAAUCUUCCACAAUGGGCGCAAGCCUGAUGGAGCAACACCGCGUGAGUGAAGAAGGGUUUCGGCUCGUAAAGCUCUGUUGUUAAAGAAGAACACGUAUGAGAGUAACUGUUCAUACGUUGACGGUAUUUAACCGGAAAGUCACGGCUAACUACGUGCCAGCAGCCGCGGUAAUACGUAGGUGGCAAGCGUUAUCCGGAUUUAUUGGGGCGUAAAGAGAGUGCAGGCGGUUUUCUAAGUCUGAUGUGAAAGCCUUCGGCUUAACCGGAGAAGUGCAUCGGAAACUGGAUAACUUGAGUGCAGAAGAGGGUAGUGGAACUCCAGGUGUAGCGGUGAAAUGCGUAGAGAUCUGAAGGAAUACCGGUGGCGAAGGCGGCCCCCUGGACAGAUACUGACACUCAGAUGCGAAAGCGUGGGGAGCAAACAGGAUUAGAUACCCUGGUAGUGUACUG